GGGGAAUAUUGCGCAAUGGGCGAAAGCCUGACGCAGCGACGCCGCGUGAGGGAUGACGGCCUUCGGGUCGUAAACCUCUGUCAGGAGGGAAGACCCGCCAUGGUGCUAAUCAGCCAUGGUCUGACGGUCCCUCCAACGGAAGCACCGGCUAACUCCUGCCCAGCAGCCGCGGUAAUACGAAGGGUGCAAGCGUUAAUCGGAAUUACUGGGCGUAAAGCGCGCGUAGGUGGUUCGUUAAGUUGGAUGUGAAAGCCCCGGGCUCAACCUGGGAACUGCAUCCAAAACUGGCGAGCUAGAGUAUGGCAGAGGGUGGUGGAAUUUCCUGUGUAGCGGUGAAAUGCGUAGAUAUAGGAAGGAACACCACUGGCGAAGGCGACCACCUGGGCUAAUACUGACACUGAGGUGCGAAAGCGUGGGGAGCAAACA
RNAcentral lists this ribosomal RNA (426 nucleotides) under uncultured Pseudomonadaceae bacterium. RNAcentral describes it as "bacterial SSU rRNA". It matches the Rfam family "Bacterial small subunit ribosomal RNA", at positions 356 to 774 of the family's 1533-position model. Lineage: Bacteria; Pseudomonadati; Pseudomonadota; Gammaproteobacteria; Pseudomonadales; Pseudomonadaceae. The record is from RNAcentral.